Molecule: ribosomal RNA, 407 nt
Filed under: uncultured beta proteobacterium
Lineage: Bacteria; Pseudomonadati; Pseudomonadota; Betaproteobacteria
Description: bacterial SSU rRNA
Rfam family: Bacterial small subunit ribosomal RNA
Source: RNAcentral
GGAGGAAAGCAGGGGAUCGCAAGACCUUGCGCUCAUUGAGCGGCCGAUGCCUGAUUAGUUAGUUGGUGAGGUAAAGGCUUACCAAGGCGACGAUCAGUAGCUGGUCUGAGAGGACGACCAGCCACACUGGGACUGAGACACGGCCCAGACUCCUACGGGAGGCAGCAGUGGGGAAUUUUGGACAAUGGGGGAAACCCUGAUCCAGCCAUGCCGCGUGAGUGAAGAAGGCCUUCGGGUUGUAAAGCUCUUUCAGCCGGAACGAAACGGUCACGGCUAAUACCUGUGACUACUGACGGUACCGGUAGAAGAAGCACCGGCUAACUACGUGCCAGCAGCCGCGGGGAUACGUAGGGUGCGAGCGUUAAUCGGAAUUACUGGGCGUAAAGCGUGCGCAGGCGGUUUUGUAA